UACGUAGGGGCUAGCGUUAUCCGGAAUUACUGGGCGUAAAGGGCAAGUAGGCGGUUGUUCAAGUUGGGCGUGACAGAUCUCGGCUUAACUGAGAAAGGUCGUCCAAUACUGAGCGACUGGAGGGCAGGAGAGGAAAGUGGAACUCCCGAUGUAGCGGUGGAAUGCUCAGAUAUCGGGAAGAACACCAGUGGCGAAGGCGGCUUUCUGGCCUGUACCUGACGCUGAGAGGCGAAAGCUAGGGGAGCAAACGGGAUUAGAUACCCGCGUAGUCCCU
Molecule: ribosomal RNA, 274 nt
Filed under: uncultured prokaryote
Description: partial 16S ribosomal RNA
Rfam family: Bacterial small subunit ribosomal RNA
Source: RNAcentral